Molecule: non-coding RNA, 801 nt
Organism: Paramormyrops kingsleyae
Lineage: Eukaryota; Metazoa; Chordata; Actinopteri; Osteoglossiformes; Mormyridae
Source: RefSeq, a predicted model, not a curated record
GUUCUGCAGCAGCCAGUCAAUCAGCUGGCAUCCAGCAAAGACACGCCGGUUGACCCCGCCCUGCUCUACCUGCUGUUGCAAGAUGGAGUUCUUCCCAGAGACCAGGCUAUGGAAAAGUAUCCACACACACACUGAGUUUGCCAAGCCACCAAGGGAAUUGGAAUGAGCUCUCACUGCUCAUAAAGCCUUUGGCCGCGCAUGAAGACCUUCAUCUCCAUGUUGAAGGGGAAGGUUCCGUCGUCCUUCCGGAAUCGGUACAGCAGUUUGGCAUCCUUAAACGUUGAUUGCUUGUCACAAACUAGAAGGGAGAAGCAUGACAAUGAUGGAUAAUAUGUUGGAAGGGCCCCCAAAGACAGGGGAACACAUCUGGAGACAGGGGAUCACAUCUGGAACCUGCAGCUACAUACAGUACCUAUAGUUUUUCUUACUCUGAUUUAGUCUCAGUUUGUGACAACAUGUAAUGUGACAGAAAGCUUCAAUGAACUCCAGUUUUCAUGCUCCAUUUUGUUUCAUACUUAUGUCAUUGUCCUUUACUCUCUUUUGUGCUGUGGAGUGCUGGAGGUCAAUUUAUAUACAAAACUGAUGUGUAUGAAGAUGUUUCUCUUGGUAUUUUGGGAAUUGUGACAUGUCUGGUGUAGGUUAUAGUGCGCAGUGUUGGGGAAGUUACUCACAAAAGUAAUCCAUUACAGACAAGGUGGAAAGUUCAGAUCCAGAAUGUAUAAACCCAGACCAAGGCUUUGUUUCAACCAACCAACUCUGUGAUGGUGGCUCUUUAUAUAAUAAAAUGACUAAUGCAAUGAA